UCAGGAUUCUAGCAGCCGUAUUUAGCACUAACGGAAUUUUAUUUAGUGCUUUAUCCGGGUAGUCGGAAAGUAGAGCAUUGCAGUAGUCUAACCUAGAAGUAACAAAAGCAUUGAUUCAUUUUUCUGCAUAAUUUAUGGACAGAAAGUUUCACCCAACAUCAGUGCCCGACCUCACUAAUGCUCUUGUUGGCUGAAUGGAAGCAAGUCACUGUAGCAAUGUUCCAGCAUCUAGUGGAAAGCCUUCCCAGAAGAGUGGAAGCUGCUAUAGCAGCAAGGGGGUGACCAACCAACUCCAUAUUAAUGCCCAUGUUUUUGGAAUGAGAUGAACAGGUGUCCACAUACUUUUAGUCAUGUAGUGUACAUAAUUGAUGCCUGGACCAUUCAGUUUCACUUUAAUCAGAGGUUUCAGAUUAUAUAUGACUUGGAUUGGGGAGGUGUGGUGGAAAAAUAACAUUUGCUUGAUAAGAUUUAAAAGGAAGCUUACAUGGACGGAAAGUGUGACCCAUUUUUCUAUUACAAACAGCACCCAUGGACUUACGUGAUUGUAGACAUGCCUGAACAUAGCUGAACAUAGGUAUAUAAUUCCAACAUAAAAUAUGAUUUAAAUUUCAACGAUUUCUGCCUACAUCGCCCAGUGAGCAGUGAGCUGAGCAAGUGGCGAUUGAAUAUGACGUUCCAUUUUGUUCUAUAAAGGCCCUCCCCUUUCUUCGUCACGUCCUCUUUCAAUUUGGUGUCUUCGCUGUAGAGGCACAUCUCCACAAGAUGAGAGCAAAGGUGAGUUGAUAAAUAUCUAACUCCAUAUUAGCGGGUUUUUGUUUGGCACAUUGUCACUAAGCAGUGGCUAGCUAACUAACGCUACAUAAACAUGUGUCUUAACGACAACGUGCCUAAAUAGUUGGCUUCCAAUUAAAAUAUGGAAACAUUGGCAGUAUCCAAUAUUACUUUAAAGGGGGAAACGCUUAAUUGGCGCAGGAGUUAAUUUUGAAUGUGAUAUUCAAUUUCAUACAUGGCGUAUUGGGGUUUUGCUAGCUUGACCACGUUGGCGAACUAGGUUUCAUGGCGCACAUGGUACUAGCAAUAUUACUUGUAAUGCAUUUUGUAGAUUUCAGGAAUGGCUUAUAUUAGCACGAUCAAUUAUACUGUUCACCAGUGCCAUGCCUACUGCGUGUUUGUAUCAUCUUGACUCUUAACAUUGUGACGCAUGGUCCGCAUUGCCAUGCCAGAUAUUCACGUGUCUUCCUGUUUAGAUCCGCAGCUUGUGCUUUAAACAUGAAUGAUUCCUUGUUUGGUUGUGAGUCUUUAAAUUGAUUUAAGUGUUAUUUUGUUUUUAGUGGAGGAAGAAGCGUAUGCGCAGGUAAGAAUCAUUUCCUUUAAGGCUUUUCAUCUGAAUGCUAAUGCUACUUUGUAGUUUCGUUCAGAUAUGCAUUCUACUCCAGUCUUCUGUUAACAUGGACAUGGCACAUUUGCAAUCUACUACAAUAGAUUUGACAACCAUGUAUAUGACUGUUUUUCAGGCUCAUACGAGUUCAAUUCAGGGUGUAUGUUGAAUGUUUGUUCAUUCGGCGUUGCAGGUAGUCUAGUGGUUAGAGAACUGGGCUAGUAACUGCUAGUUUGCUGGAUCGAAUCGCCACGGUGGAACACUUAAAUAUGUUCUACCCCAGAACAAGGCAGCUAACAGCCUACUGGGGAGCCGUGUGUCAUUGUAAAAAAUAAAUGAUAACUGACUUGCCUAUUUUUAAAUGAACAUUACAUUUAAAUGAGUACAUGACAAUGGUGGGAUUAAUGCUAGUCAUUGUUGGGACUUUUACAAGCUGAUAUGGUGUGUAAUGAUGCAGCCCUGGUCACUAAUUGACACUUUCUGGUCUUUGUAGGCUGAAGCGUAAAAGGCGAAAGAUGAGGCAGAGGUCCAAGUAGACUGGCCCAUUCCCCUACUGCUGUGAUUGUUUUUCUCCACCCACUCCAAGCCCUCUGAAGCCAGCGGUCCAUGAUUUGAAGAGCUGAACCAUGGUGGUCUGAAGCUGGCCUCGUUGGUGUGAAGGACAGAUUCUGCCUACCCAGCCCUCUACUCUGCCAAUGGCUCCUGGCCGUUGACUUCUGCUAGAAUCUCUCCUGUCAUUAAACUCUGGCCUUUUACCACCUGCACAGCUGUUGUAAAGACCAUAAUAAAUAUUUGGUUUACUAACUACAUUACAGUCUCUGUAAACAUUGAUUCAGGUUCAAAUCUUAUUUUAUUGAUCACACACAUUUAGUAGAUAUUGCGGGUGUGGUGAAAUUCUUAUCUUUCGGUCCACCCAACUUGCACUUAAUGCUUUUGAUAAUGUUGGAAACUAAUAUCUGGGGAACCAGUUGAUGCUUUUGAGUCCCCGUUGCAGUACAAUUUGGUUUACAUUUGUACAGCUGUAGACUUAACUGCCCUGGGGAUCAGUAAUAUAGUUGAGGUUCCGGUUUAACUAAGUUCCUGAACAGUGGUUUUCCAGCGUGCCAAGUUCUGAGGUCGGGUGAUCUGAUGCAGUACUCCCCUCUUCCUGGUGAAAUAGCCCUUACACAACCUGGAAGUGUGUGUUGGUUAAUUGUCCUGUUGAAAAACAGUCCCACUAAGCCAAAACUAGAUGGGAUCUUGCUGCAGAAUGCUGUGGUAGCCAUGCUGGUUAGGUGUGCCUUAUUCUAGAUAAAUCACUGUCACAGGCAAAGCACCAUCACACCAUGUUUCGUGGUGGGAACCACAUGCGGCGAUAAAUCUGUUCACCUCAUCUGGCAAAGGUUGUUGGAACCAAAAAUCUCAAGUGCACGCAUCAGACCAAAGGAUAGAUUUCCACCGGUCUAAUAUCCAUUGCUCAUGUUUCUUGGCCCAAGAAAGUCUCCUUAUUGGUGUCCUUUAGUAGUGGUUUCUUUGCAGCAAUUUGACCAUGAAGGCUUGAUUCUCGCAGUCUCCGAACAGUUGAUGUGACUAACAAACAGAAGCAUUUAUUUGGGUUGCAAUCUGAGGUGCAGUUAAGUCUAAUGAACUUAUUCUCUGCAGCGGAGGGAACUCUGGGUCUUCCUUUAAUGUGGCAGUCCACAUGAGCGCCAGUUUCAUCAUAGCGCUUCUGCAACUGCACUUGAACAAACGUUCAAAGUUCUUAUUUGGGAUUGACUGACCACGUUUUAAUGAUGGACUGUCAUAUUUGCUUAUUUCAGAUGUUCUUGCCAUAAUAUGGACUUAGCCCUAUUUGGACAAAUACCCUCUUCUGUAUACCACCCCUACCUUGUCACAACACAACUGGAUUAGCUCAAACACAUUAAGAAGGAAAGAAAUGACACAAAUGAACUUUUAACAAGGGACGCCUGUUAAUUGAAAUGCAUUCCAGGAUACUACCUCAAAGCUGGUUGAGAGAAUGCCAAAUGUGUGCAAAGUUGUCACCAAGGCAAAGAGUGGCUGUUUUGAAGAAUCUCAAAUAUAAAUCCUAUUUUGAUUUGACACUUUUUUGGUUACUACAUGAUUCCAUGUGUUAUUUCAUAGUUUUGAUGUCUUCACUAUCUUCACUACAAUGUAGAAAAUAGUCAAAUAAAGAAAAACCCUUACAUGAGU
This is a long non-coding RNA of Oncorhynchus tshawytscha (Chinook salmon), 3568 nucleotides long. The record is from Ensembl. NCBI's taxonomy places the organism in Eukaryota, Metazoa, Chordata, Actinopteri, Salmoniformes, Salmonidae.